Molecule: unclassified non-coding RNA, 328 nt
Filed under: soil metagenome
Description: partial contains 5.8S ribosomal RNA, internal transcribed spacer 2, and large subunit ribosomal RNA
Rfam family: 5.8S ribosomal RNA (bases 1-120)
Source: RNAcentral
GAUGAAGAACGUAGCGAAAUGCGAUAAGUAAUGUGAAUUGCAGAAUUCAGUGAAUCAUCGAAUCUUUGAACGCACAUUGCGCCCCCUGGUAUUCCGGGGGGCAUGCCUGUUCGAGCGUCAUUUCAACCCUCAAGCUCUGCUUGGUAUUGAGUCCAUGUCAGCAAUGGCAGGCUCCAAAAUCAGUGGCGGCGCCGCUGGGUCCUGAACGUAGUAAUAUCUCUCGUUACAGGUGCUCGGCGUGCUUCUGCCAAAACCCCAAUUUUUCUAUGGUUGACCUCGCAUCAGGUAGGGAUACCCGCUGAACUUAAGCAUAUCAAUAAGCGGAGGA